RNAcentral lists this transfer RNA (68 nucleotides) under Cichlidarus nyanzae. RNAcentral describes it as "tRNA-His". Lineage: Eukaryota; Metazoa; Platyhelminthes; Monogenea; Gyrodactylidea; Gyrodactylidae. The record is from RNAcentral.
AUUAAGUUAAGUUAAAUAAAAAUAAACUGUUAGUUUGUGGUACUAAAAAUAAUUAAAUUUACUUGAUA